GAAAGCCUUGAUGACAUUUCUUCUGUUUU
This 29-nucleotide non-coding RNA is filed under the name Rattus norvegicus (Norway rat). Lineage: Eukaryota; Metazoa; Chordata; Mammalia; Rodentia; Muridae. The record is from RNAcentral.